CCAGCCUAAGAUUGGACGCUGAAGUAGUCACGAUCGAUGUAGAUCUUCUGUUAUAACUUUGUCCAAACAUCUGCAAAACAAGUCCACAUCGGGGGUUGGCUUCGGCGUAGACUCUCCGACGCUUAAGUCAAGAGAUGGAGAAUGAUGAGAGGAAAGAAUUAGAAGUUGAUUGAUUGCAUAUCUUGGAGGGUCCUGGAAUCUUUAUUUAUAGGAGA
This 215-nucleotide long non-coding RNA is filed under the name Elaeis guineensis (African oil palm). Its description in RNAcentral is "long non-coding RNA (EGUI_LNC025363)". The record is from RNAcentral. Lineage: Eukaryota; Viridiplantae; Streptophyta; Magnoliopsida; Arecales; Arecaceae.